RNAcentral lists this transfer RNA (64 nucleotides) under Stenopirates sp. NKU01. Its description in RNAcentral is "tRNA-Phe". Lineage: Eukaryota; Metazoa; Arthropoda; Insecta; Hemiptera; Enicocephalidae. The record is from RNAcentral.
ACUUAAAUAGCUUAAAUAAAGUGUGAUAUUGAAGAUAUCAAGAUAAAUAAUUAUUUUUUAAGUA